GAUGAACGCUGACAGAAUGCUUAACACAUGCAAGUCAACUUGAACUUCGGUUUGGGUGGCGGACGGGUGAGUAACGCGUAAAGAACUUGCCUCACAGCUAGGGACAACAUUUGGAAACGAAUGCUAAUACCUGAUAUUAUGAUUAUAUGGCAUCGUAUAAUUAUGAAAGCUAUAUGCGCUGUGAGAGAGCUUUGCGUCCCAUUAGCUAGUUGGAGAGGUAACAGCUCACCAAGGCGAUGAUGGGUAGCCGGCCUGAGAGGGUGAUCGGCCACAAGGGGACUGAGACACGGCCCUUACUCCUACGGGAGGCAGCAGUGGGGAAUAUUGGACAAUGGACCGAGAGUCUGAUCCAGCAAUUCUGUGUGCACGAUGAAGUUUUUCGGAAUGUAAAGUGCUUUCAGUUGGGAAGAAAAAAAUGACGGUACCAACAGAAGAAGGGACGGCUAAAGACG
RNAcentral lists this ribosomal RNA (452 nucleotides) under uncultured bacterium. RNAcentral's name for it is "partial 16S ribosomal RNA". It matches the Rfam family "Bacterial small subunit ribosomal RNA", at positions 28 to 505 of the family's 1533-position model. The record is from RNAcentral.